UAGCAUAUCAAUAAGCGCAGGAAAAGAAACCAACAGGGAUUGCCUCAGUAACGGCGAGUGAAGCGGCAACAGCUCAAAUUUGAAAUCUGGCCUCUCGGGGUCCGAGUUGUAAUUUGUAGAGGAUGUUUCGGGUACCGCCUCGGUUUAAAUUUCUUGGAACAGAAUGUCAAAGAGGGUGAGAAUCCCGUCUUGGACCGGCGGUAGGGCCUAUGUGAAACUCCUUCGACGAGUCGAGUUGUUUGGGAAUGCAGCUCAAAAUGGGUGGUAAAUUUCAUCUAAAGCUAAAUAUUGGCCAGAGACCGAUAGCGCACAAGUAGAGUGAUCGAAAGAUGAAAAGCACUUUGAAAAGAGAGUUAAACAGUAUGUGAAAUUGUUGAAAGGGAAGCGCUUGCAACCAGACUUGAGCGCGGCGGUUCCCCCUUGCUUCUGCUUGGGUUACUCCGCCGUGUCCAGGCCAACAUCGGUUCUGGGGGUCGGUCAAAGGCCUUGGGAAUGUAUCUACCCACGGGUAGACUUAUAGACCAGGGUGUCAUGCGACCUCCCGGGACCGAGGAACGCGCUUCGGCUCGGAUGUUGGCGUAAUGGUUGUCAGCGACCCGUCUUGAAACACGGACCAAGGAGUCUAACAUCUAUGCGAGUGUUUGGGUGUCAAACCCGGAACGCGGAAUGAAAGUGAACGGAGGUAGGAAGCUUCGGCUGCACUAUCGACCGAUCCUGAAGUUUACGGAUGGAUUUGAGUAAGAGCAUAGCUGUUGGGACCCGAAAGAUGGUGAACUAUGCCUGAAUAGGGUGAAGCCAGAGGAAACUCUGGUGGAGGCUCGCAGCGGUUCUGACGUGCAAAUCGAUCGUCAAAUUUAGGUAUAGGGGCGAAAGACUAAUCGAACCAUCUGGUAGCUGGUCUGC
RNAcentral lists this ribosomal RNA (903 nucleotides) under Cladophialophora immunda. RNAcentral describes it as "LSU rRNA". It matches the Rfam family "Eukaryotic large subunit ribosomal RNA", at positions 36 to 959 of the family's 3401-position model. Lineage: Eukaryota; Fungi; Ascomycota; Eurotiomycetes; Chaetothyriales; Herpotrichiellaceae. The record is from RNAcentral.